GGGAUAUGAUGACAGACUGGAACUGACUUUCCCAUGGAGGGUCCAUUCAAUCCAACUCUGAACCCC
RNAcentral lists this small nucleolar RNA (66 nucleotides) under Leptobrachium leishanense (Leishan spiny toad). Its description in RNAcentral is "Small nucleolar RNA SNORD69 (ENSLLEG00000029826.1)". It matches the Rfam family "Small nucleolar RNA SNORD69". From Rfam's summary of the family: snoRNA HBII-210 belongs to the C/D family of snoRNAs. It is the human orthologue of the mouse MBII-210 and is predicted to guide the 2'O-ribose methylation of large 28S rRNA on residue G4464. Lineage: Eukaryota; Metazoa; Chordata; Amphibia; Anura; Megophryidae. The record is from Rfam by way of RNAcentral.